CAGCCUCUGAUCCUUCCAGCAGAGGCAAUUAUUUAAUGUAAUGAGAAGAAUCCAAGCACUGGAACUUUUCAGAGACAUGUAAUGUUUUAUGACAGACCAAAACUGUGUAAUGAAAAAGCUUGAUUUUGUGUAUGGGAAGAUACUUAGAAAUAAACGUGUACUGGUGCCUGGGAGGCUGAGGCAGAGGAGGACUGGAGCCAUCUCCCAGCUCAACAUUCCUCCCAGCCAUCCUCCCCCAACAGGACAUCCCUUCUCACCCAUCCCACCAUCCCCAUCAGCAGGACGCAGCCCUGGCAGUGGCACUGCAGGGAUGCAGGGAUGGUAGGACAGCUCACCAGCCAGGCUGACCCCCCUGUGCCCUCCUCACAGACAGCCAGGGUUCAGCACAGAAACAUGCAGAUUCUGGCUUUUAUUUGAGGCAGUGCAGGCACCACGAGGCCUGGGGAAGCUGGGCAGAGCUGUAGCCUGUGGAGAUGGGACAGCAGAAGUGAAGAUGCUGACUUGCUGCCUUCCUCACUCGAGCAGAGCUCUGCGUGCAGCGAUUCAGGCCAGGCUGCACUCCCUGCUCUCCCCAGUGUCCUGGAGGAAUAUGGUCCAGAAUGCCUUCAGCAAGAGCCUCUAAUCUGGAAGAGUCAUUUCUCCCUCUGCCUCUCACAGUACAGGAGCAAUGCAGUGGCUGCUGGCUGGAAAAUUAGCCCAGGGAACUCUCUCCUCUGUCUGUCUCUCACCUCAUUAGACUAGUGAGAAAAUGUAAUUGUAAGUCUCCCAG
Molecule: long non-coding RNA, 769 nt
Organism: Empidonax traillii (willow flycatcher)
Lineage: Eukaryota; Metazoa; Chordata; Aves; Passeriformes; Tyrannidae
Exons: 4
Source: RefSeq, a predicted model, not a curated record